CCAAUAGGCAACAUUUUGACAUCAAGUGGCUAAAAACUCCACCCUCAGAUCAGGCUAACGCCGCCAUUUUAUGAACAUGGGUCCUAUGAAGAGCCAUGAAAUCUGACUACGCUUGCGCAGAUCAUCAAUUACCUCACCUCUCCUCACCUCCAAUCACCUCUCUCCACAUUUCAGACCACCUUGCUCCCUAUCCCAUAAAUAUCCCUGAGUCCCUAUUUUCGCGGAAGCAAAUUUGAGGCUUGUGCCCUUGCUUCCUCACGUGGCUGCCUUGCUUUAAAUUUACCUCAGCUUCAUCUACUCUAGACAAUGUCAACCUAUCUCUUUGGGAAGUCACAAGGAUCCUGCAAGGUGAAUUCCAGGCUCUGAAGCACAAAAAUGCAGAAACCAAAUGUGACCAAUAUAAGGGCUUAAUGAGUGCUGAAGAAGGCAAGACUAAUUCCUAGUCAUACUCCCACCAUUACAGCCUGUUUCCAGCAUUUCAAAAACAAUUCCACACUAUUUACUCAUAUUCAAAUUAACUAUUAACCCAGGUUUUUUUUUUUUUUAAUAUUGUGCUCCAGGUAUCUCAUGAAUUGCAAAACAUUCCUUAAUUGAUACAGUGUUUGGGCAGUAUUUAUACCUACCCUGACUUUCUCCUGAUUAUGUUUGUUUGGACUUAUUAGUCCUAAGGCAUAUUGCAUUGUUUCCCCCUAUUCUGCUUUUUCCUGGCAUUGAUAAAUUUGUUCUUUCAGUUUCAAGGCCACCCUAAAAUGUAUUCCAUAUUCCCUGAUGUUUGUGACUGCUCAGCUUUUUGUCUUCAUGAUUCUAAAGAGAACAUUUUCAAAUCCAUCAUUGGUCAAUGAUGGCUAUUAAAAUAGUGCUAAGCUCAAGGCUGACUGAUGUCCACUAUCACUUCAGGUGUUCCCUCUCAGUUUCUCAGAUUGGUGAUAAGUUAUUUAGAAGCCACCCUUUCAACAGUGCCAAAAGUUGCAAAUGGUAUGCUGCUGUUUCUUGAAAAUUCAUGAUUUUGAAAAACAAAGAAACACAGAAGAUGACAGUAGUAACAUUCACUGGAGAAGUAGGCCCCCUGCAGCCAGCCUUGGAGAUCCAGAUGUUCUGGGCAGCCAGUAACUAAUUCUUACCUCAGGGUAGGGGUAGUGUUGGUCUUGGCUUUCUGGCUGUAGCUCAUACUGUAGCCUUUCAGGGCUUAAGCAGAGCCAUUUUGCUAUAAAUUUAGACAUAAUUUAACGAGUUCAGUUAUCUAGUUUCCUAGAUCAUCUGAGUAGAAACACAGAAGCAGCAAGUUAGAACAGAAGAAACAAGCUCACAGUAGCAAGUAGUGACAGUUAAAAAGUGGGAAAGGACAACAGUGGAGACUAGAAAGCUAACAUAAGAACCUAAAAAGCAAAGUAGCCUGGGCGCAUUAGCAGAAAAGCAGAUGACUACUUCUGUAAUCCUUGCAGCCCUUGAGCUGAGACUACCAGAAGGAGAGAAGAGAAAGAAGAAAAAAAUAUUUGAAGAACAGAAUGCUGAAAGUCAAAGGCAAGGAGAAAAUCUUGAAAAAAGCGAGAGAAAAAUGUCAUUUACAAGGGAGCUCAAUAUGAUUAACAGUUGACUUCUCAUCAGGAACAAUGAAAGCCAGAAGGCAGUGGAAAAACAUUCAAAACGCUCCAAGAAAAAUACUGUCAACCAAGAAUCCUAUAUCCAGCACAGCUAUCUUUAAAACAAGAAGGCAAAAUACUUUCCCAGAUAAACAGAAACUGAGAGAAUUUGUUGCUAGCCAACUCAUCUCACAAACAAAUACUAAGUUCUUCAGGUUGAAAGAAAGUUAUCCUGGACAGUAAUAUGAAUCCACAUAAACAAAGAACACUGGUAAAGGUGGAAGCCCUGCCACAGCAUGUCUUGCCAAGCGGUAUGCAGGUCUGCACACAGGAUCCAAACUGGCAAACCCUGGGCCUCCAAAGUGGAAUGUGCAAACUUAACUGCUGCACCACUGGGCUAGCCCCAGGAUUUCAUUUCUUAAAGCAUACUAUUAAAACUUUUUUCUGGAAAUGUUAUAAUAGUAUUAUGCAAGUUCAGUACAUGACCUACAAGAGGAAAUAAGGAGAGGGAGUAAAAUAAUUUCAAGUCCUUCUGGCUUCUAAUCAAAGAAUCAGUUUAACAGCUUUUAGCUCCUAUUUCAAUAUUUAUGAAAACUCUGAGCUUUAUUUCCUGUUUUUUUUUAAAAUUCUAAUGUCAAGUGGGUUAUUUCCAGGCUAAAGGCAUUUGGUUCCUUCCUUAGUAUUUGCUCAUUCAACUAUUCAGUCAGAGGCAUAAUUCAUUUGGAGAUGUAGUGGCAGACAAAUGUCUCCAUUCUGCAAAUUAUAACUCAGGACACAAUCAUAUGCAUAGUGCCUUU
Long non-coding RNA from Equus asinus (donkey), 2377 nucleotides. NCBI's taxonomy places the organism in Eukaryota, Metazoa, Chordata, Mammalia, Perissodactyla, Equidae. The record is from Ensembl.